Non-coding RNA from Chlorocebus sabaeus (green monkey), 806 nucleotides. The record is from RefSeq and is a predicted model, not a curated record. NCBI's taxonomy places the organism in Eukaryota, Metazoa, Chordata, Mammalia, Primates, Cercopithecidae.
UAACAUCUAGCCUACAGUAUAGAACUGCCUGGAGGGCAGGGUUAGGAAUCUCUUCACUACCCUGAUUCUUGAUUCCUGGCUCUACCCUGUCUGUCCCUUUUCUUUUACCAGAUCUUUCUCUUCCCUAAACGUUUUCUUCUUUCCCUGGACAGGCAGCUUCCUUUGCGUGUAUUCAGAGGCAGUGAUGACUUGCUGUCCAGGCAGCUCCCUCCUGCAGACAGAAUGCUCAGGGUCACUAAACCAUUGCUUCUCUUUCGAAAGUACAGCUAGCUGCCACUUUCAUGUGGCCUCCAGAGUGUCUCCACUUACACCCCUGUGCUCCCCUGCCACACUGCUGGCUCAAGACAAGGCUGGCAAACCCUCCCAGAAACAUUUCUGGCCCAGAGAGCCUCUCUCUCUCUCCCCUUCCCUCAUGAGGCACAGCCAAUCCAAGUGCUCACUUUGAGCCGGUGGGUCAGUCACAGAGCAAAAGAGGGUUUACUUUCAGUUCCCUCUGUCAGGGUCAGAUCCAGAGAGCAUGCUGAAUGCCCUCUGCUUGCUCAGUAAGGGUGCCCCACCUGAGUCAAUGCUGUCAGCUGACAGUACAAUGCUUGUAGAAGUAGGAGGAAACAGUUCUCACUGGGAAGAAGCAAGGGCAAGAACCCAAGUGCCUCACCCUGAAAAGAGGCCCUGUUCCCUGGAGUCAGGGUGAACUGCAAAGCUUUGGCUGAGACCUGGGAUUUGAGAUACCACAAACCCUGCUGAACAGAGUGUGUGUUCAGCAAACUAACCUGUAUUCCCUACAGCCUAGGGCAGACAAGAGUAUA